GACGUAGGGCGCGAGCGUGUCCGGAUUUAUUGGGCGUAAAGAGCUCGUAGGCGGCUCGUUGCGUCAACCGUGAAAACCCGGGGCUUAACUUCGGCUGCGGUUGAUACGGGCGGGCUGGAGUUCGGUAGGGGAGACUGGAAUUCCUGGUGUAGCGGUGAAAUGCGCAGAUAUCAGGAGGAACACCGGUGGCGAAGGCGGGUCUCUGGGCCGAUACUGACACUGAGGAGCGAAAGCGUGGGGAGCGAACAGG
Molecule: ribosomal RNA, 250 nt
Filed under: uncultured bacterium
Lineage: Bacteria
Description: partial 16S ribosomal RNA
Rfam family: Bacterial small subunit ribosomal RNA
Source: RNAcentral